RNAcentral lists this small RNA (552 nucleotides) under Penicillium sp. DT_2_5_3. Its description in RNAcentral is "eukaryotic LSU rRNA". The stretch from base 211 to 364 matches the Rfam family "5.8S ribosomal RNA". Lineage: Eukaryota; Fungi; Ascomycota; Eurotiomycetes; Eurotiales; Aspergillaceae. The record is from RNAcentral.
UUUCCGUAGGUGUACAAGCGAAAAGAUCAUCAAGGAGUGAGGGCCCUAUGGGUCCAACCUCCCACCCGUGUUUAACCGUACCUUGUCGCUUCGGCGGGCCCGCCUCACGGCCGCCGGGGGGCUCUUCUUCCCCCGGGCCCGCGCCCGCCGAAGACACCUGUGAACGCUGUUCGAAGUAUGCAGUGUGAGAAAACUAGAUAAAUUAGUUAAAACUUUCAACAACGGAUCUUUUGGUUCCGGCAUCGAUGAAGAACGCAGCGAAAUGCGAUAAUUAAUGUGAAUAGCAGAAUUCAGUGAAUCAUCGAGUCUUUGAACGCACAUCGCGCCCUCUGGUAUUCCUGAGGGCAUCCCUGUCCGAGCGUCAUCGUUGCCCUCCAGCACGGCCCGUGUGCCGGGCCCUCGUCCCCCCCGGGGCCGGCCCCGAAAGGCAGCGGCGGCACCGCGUCCGGUCCUCGAGCGUAUGGGGCUUCGUCACCCGUUCGUUAGGCCCGGCCGGCCCAGCCGACCCCCCCUCAAUCUUAACCAGGUGACCUCGGAUCAGGAGGAUCAAGA